Molecule: long non-coding RNA, 2087 nt
Organism: Bos taurus (domestic cattle)
Lineage: Eukaryota; Metazoa; Chordata; Mammalia; Artiodactyla; Bovidae
Source: Ensembl
AACAAACACAUUAAAGAAUUCAAGAGAGGUACUUGCCCUGGUGAUCCAAUGGCUAAGACUCUGAGCUCCCAAUGCAGGGGCCUGGGGUUCGAUCCCUGGUCAGCUACUACAGAUCUCGAGUGCCCCAACUAAGACCCCAACUCAGCAAAAUUAAAAAAAAAAAAAAGAAUUAAAGACAAGCAAAACACAAACUGCAUACAUAAAGGCUAGCAUCCAAAGAAACAAAUGAACUGGUUCACAAAUUAGGCAGAAGUCCAACUCUUUCCUCUCUCCAACAGGGUAUCCCACUCAAAGACAAAACAAAUUGGCUUAUUCCAGAGAAAAAGCCCCAAAAGGAGAAGAAAUAGAGUUCCCAACUGUACGCGCCCUCAGAGAGACUUACGGUUACUGUUUGGAGCCUGUCUGCUCCCAAAUAUUGAUUCCUUGUUCCAACUGCCCAGCGCUGGAACAACCAGUGCGGCUUUGGGGAGUUUUGAAGGAAGAGCCUCAGGACAAGUGGUCUUGCCAGCUGCUAGGGCCUUACCCCCAAAUCCCCCAACCGUCAGCUCGCCAUGAGUGGCAAGGUAAGGCAGGCCAAUAAAUGGAGAGAGGAGUUGCUAGGACAAGGAACAGCGACUUCAUUCAGAAAGCCACCAAACCAAGAUGAUGGUGGACUCGAAAGAUCCACCUUACCUGCGCUAGAAUUCAGGCUUCUUUUAUACUAAAAGGGGAGGGCGUGUAGCUAAACAUUUCCGGUUCCGGUUAGCCUUCAGAAGGGGCUGUGCUAAUUUCUUCUGCCUACACUCCUGCACAUGUGGGCCUGGUCAGGAGACUUCUUGUGAGCUAACCAAAGUAUUUCAGCUUAAUGCUCAUUACCUGGGAGGCAGGGUUCCCAGAGAUGGGCCAUUGUGUAUAAUUUAAGCUUAUAGGCAACAUCCUUGAGGUGAUUAACUUGCAAUAGGGUACACAGGUUCUGCCCUAUUACAUCAGAUCUUAAUUUAAUUUGCUAUUUGACCUGUUCAGAAUGACUGAAUUAUCAGAAACUUCAUGGAUGAACAUUAGGACGCAGCAGCUGUUGGAAACGCAGCGUCAGCAGUCCCUGUCAGGUUAUGCCCAGUCCCUAACACCGCCCUCUCCCAGACCCCAUCACAGCCGGCCACUUAGCUCUGCAGCCCGACCUGCUCACGUGGUGCUCAGCGCCCGUGCGCGGCCUGGUCUCUCAACACAGUGCCACCCGCUUCCCCUACAGCCUCCUAGACCCACCCUUCCUCGAGGCCAAGUGUCAAUAACCAGGAUCCUCGCCGGGAAACCUUGGGUUCCAGCUAUUCCCCCAGAGGCCUCCAUUAGGGGGCUUUGCACCCAGCGGCGUCCGCAGCGCCCUCCGGGAUAGCGAGCACCCCAGGGCUCCCUCACCCUGGGCUGUACACAUCCCCGCCACCAACAGGGCUCAGGGGCCAGGGCAGGAUCCCUGGUGGAGGGCGAGAUGGCGGGAUGAGUGCACCUCCUGGGUAACCGGACUCGUAGCGCUAGAGAGUUUCUGACCCGGGACACCGAAGUUCCCGCCGGGGCGCUUGCCUUACUUGAACCAUCCACGCCUCUCUGGUCUUCUUCCGCCUGAUGGUCUGGUUAUCAAUCAACAAACACUGCGGCUUAUUGGACCCCCGGCGCUGAGUAGGGGAGACCCUGGGCCGCGAGAUUCUUCCUACUCUUGUAAAGUCUUAUUUUUGUAGAGUGCUUACAAAGCGUUUGCACAGUCGUAAUCUCGUGAAACACUUCUUGGUGUUCCUGGCCCGGUGCUGCGUGCUAUGAUCACAGAGAUAUCCCCAGCCUCAAUCAGUUGGAGUGGGGGCCCACAAGCAUAAUGAUUUGAAAACAUACAACACACGUACACUAUUCCGGCCUCACCACAAACCCUCGAUCUAGCCUGGUGCCCAGCCCCUUUUGACGCCCCAAGUUUCCGCCGCUGCUCGGAGCUCGGCGGCUGAAACCACCCUUCUUAGAAGCGCCCACAGCACUGGAAACGACACCUCGAGCCGCAGCCUCGGCAUCUUGGAAGCCCUCUCCUCUCCUUUACCCCGAGCCCUUUAUGUUAAUUAUCAGCUUAUUUA